Long non-coding RNA from Pantherophis guttatus, 489 nucleotides. RefSeq lists it as uncharacterized. Lineage: Eukaryota; Metazoa; Chordata; Lepidosauria; Squamata; Colubridae. The record is from RefSeq and is a predicted model, not a curated record.
AAGGAGGCAAUGGCAAAUCACUUCUGAAAUCUUGCCAAGAAAACUUCAAGGAUUUGUCCAGGAGUCAACAAUGAUUCAAAAGGAGUGGAGAAAUUUGGAGAAGUUCCCAGUUUGUAGGGGAUUUCAUGAACUUGUUGAAUGGGUACGUGAGCAGUGUGUCUUUCCCUGAACAAUCAUCUCGUAAAAGACAAAUGAAGGAGAGGGAAAAAAGAAAAAAAAAACAAGAAGGACUUGGUGAAGAAUUUCCCUAAACUGGAUCUUCUACAGACAUGCGUGCAAUUUACCUCCCAAAAUUCCCAGUCAGCACAGUCAUUGUUGAGAAUGCUGGGAAAUGAAAUCAGCAUAUCAGAAGAGCGUCCAAGUUGAGAAAAGCUUGGUAUAAAAAAUAGCCGGAGCUAUGAAAACUUCAUGUUUUUCACAGGACUUUAAAUUUUCCAUCAGGAAAAAAUGGAAUUGUGCUUAAAAGAAAUAAAUAAGUUUUUACCAGUU